GAUGAACGCUGGCGGCAUGCCUAAGACAUGCAAGUCGAACGAGAUGGCCCACUGAAUUUGAUAGAAGCUUUGAGAGCUUGCUCGAAAAGUGGAAAGAGAAGGACGUGGAACUUCCAUCUAGUGGCAAACGGGUGAGUAACACGUGGGUUACCUACCUCUUAGAUGGGGAUACCAAUUGGAAACGAUUGUUAAUACCGAAUGUGAUCUACGGAUUAAAGGAGCCUUUAAAGCUUCGCUAAGAGAUGGGCCUGCGGUGCAUUAGAUAGUUGGUGGGGUAAGAGCCUACCAAGUCAACGAUGCAUAGCUGAACUGAGAGGUUGAUCGGCCACACUGGGACUGAGACACGGCCCAG
This 352-nucleotide ribosomal RNA is filed under the name uncultured bacterium. Its description in RNAcentral is "bacterial SSU rRNA". It matches the Rfam family "Bacterial small subunit ribosomal RNA", at positions 28 to 334 of the family's 1533-position model. The record is from RNAcentral.